UAGSAAGCAGUCGAGCGGAUGARUGGAGCUUGCUCCWUGAUUCARCKRCGGACGGRUGAGUAAUGCCUASGAAUCUGCCUGGYAKKGGGGGACAACGUUUCKMARGGAACGCUAAUACCGCAUACGUCCUACKGKASAAAGUGGGGGAUCUUCGGACCUCACGCUAUCMGAUGAGCCUAKGUCGGAUUASCUASUUGGUGAGGUAAAGGCUCACCAAGGCGACGAUCCGUAACUGGUCUGARAGGAUGAUCAGUCMCACUGGAACUGAGACACGGUCCAGACUCCUACGGGAGGCAGCAGUGGGGAAUAUUGGACAAUGGGCGAAAGCCUGAUCCAGCCAUGCCGCGUGUGUGAAGAAGGUCUUCRGAUUGUAAAGCACUUUAAGUUGGGAGGAAGGGCAGUAAGUUAAUACCUUGCUGUUUUGACGUUACCAACARAAUAAGCACCGGCUAACUUCGUGCCAGCAGCCGCGGUAAUACGAAGGGUGCAAGCGUUAAUCGGAAUUACUGGGCGUAAAGCGCGCGUAGGUGGUUCGUUAAGUUGGAUGUGAAAGCCCCGGGCUCAACCUGGGAACUGCAUCCAAAACUGGCGAGCUAGAGUAUGGCAGAGGGUGGUGGAAUUUCCUGUGUAGCGGUGAAAUGCGUAGAUAUARGAAGGAACACCAGUGGCGAAGGCGACCACCUG
This 684-nucleotide ribosomal RNA is filed under the name Stutzerimonas stutzeri. RNAcentral describes it as "Pseudomonas stutzeri partial 16S ribosomal RNA". It matches the Rfam family "Bacterial small subunit ribosomal RNA", at positions 51 to 731 of the family's 1533-position model. The record is from RNAcentral. Lineage: Bacteria; Pseudomonadati; Pseudomonadota; Gammaproteobacteria; Pseudomonadales; Pseudomonadaceae.